Molecule: ribosomal RNA, 1291 nt
Filed under: Orestes guangxiensis
Lineage: Eukaryota; Metazoa; Arthropoda; Insecta; Phasmatodea; Heteropterygidae
Description: 16S ribosomal RNA
Rfam family: Archaeal large subunit ribosomal RNA (bases 1053-1211)
Source: RNAcentral
UGUUAUUUAAUUAUUUUAUUUUGUUAUUAUUUUUUAUUUAAUUUGAGUUAUUUUUAAUAUUUAUUUUUUUUAGUAUUGAUUAUGAAAUGAUUUUAUUUAUUAUAUUUUAUUAGUACUGUAAAGGGUUUUAUUUUUGUUAGUUGUUUAGUAGAUUUUAUUUUGUACCUUUUGUAUCAGGGUGGAUUUAAUAAUUAUUAUUUAUUUAUUUUUCUCGAAUUAAAUAGAUCUAAUUAUAUAUUUUAGUUAAAGUUUCAUAUUUAUUAAUUAUUUAUUUUUAGGUGUGAUAUGCUAAUCAUUAUUUAUGAUUUCUAGUUUCUUAAUAAUUGAAUUUAAUUUAGCUAUUAUUUUAUAUUGUUAAUUUUAUUUUUAAUAAUAUAUAUAUUUAAUAGUAAUAUUUUGGGGGAUUAGCUUCAUUUUAUUUAUUAAAAUUUAUUUUUUUUUGUUUUGUUGAAUAGGCUUUAUAUUGGCUAUUUUUAUUUAGUAUUUUAUAAUUUAUUAAAAUUUAUUUUUGAUUUAUUUGAAUUUAAUUAUUUAUUAAGAUUAUUUUUUUAAUUUUAUAUUAAUUUUAAUAAUGAUUUAAUUAGUAUAUUUUGUUUUGUUUUGUUAAUUAUUUUUUAAAUAUUUAAAAGGAACUAGGCAAUAAUUUAUUUACUCGCCUGUUUAUCAAAAACAUCUUUUUUUGUGAAUAAUUUAAAAUUUGUCCUGCCCAAUGAUUAUUUUAAUGGCCGCGGUAUUUUGACCGUGCAAAGGUAGCAUAAUCAUUAGUCUAUUAAUUGUGGGCUUGUAUGAAUGGUUUGACGAAGUAUUAACUGUCUCUUUAAUAAUAUUGUAAUUUAAAUUUUUAGUUAAAAUGCUGAAAUUUUUUUAUGGGACGAGAAGACCCUAUAGAUCUUUAUAUUUUAAUUUUUUAUUAUUUUUGGCUUAUUUUUUAUUUAUUGAUUAAAAUGUUUUGUUGGGGUGACAUUGAGAUAUGUUUAACUCUUUAUAUUUUUAUACAUUGAUUUUUGUUUUAUUGACCUUUUAAUAUUGUUAUAAGAUAUAGAUACCUUAGGGAUAACAGCGUAAUUUUUCUUGAGAGUUCAUAUCGACAGAAAAGUUUGCGACCUCGAUGUUGGAUUAAGAUAAAAAUUAGGCGUAGGUGCUUAAUUAUUUGGUCUGUUCGACCUUUAAAUUCUUACAUGAUCUGAGUUCAAACCGGCGUGAGCCAGGUUGGUUUCUAUCUUUAAUUAUCUAUUUUAUAUUAGUACGAAAGGACCAUAUAGAUUAAAUAUUUUAAUUAGUUGAUUAUUUU